Molecule: ribosomal RNA, 230 nt
Filed under: uncultured bacterium
Lineage: Bacteria
Description: partial 16S ribosomal RNA
Rfam family: Bacterial small subunit ribosomal RNA
Source: RNAcentral
CGUGUAGGCGGGAAUACAAGUCAGAUGUGAAAUACUGCGGCUCAACUGCAGAACGGCAUCUGAAACUGUAUUUCUUGAGUACUGGAGAGGAAAGCGGAAUUCCUAGUGUAGCGGUGAAAUGCGUAGAUAUUAGGAGGAACACCGGUGGCGAAGGCGGCUUUCUGGACAGUAACUGACGCUGAGACGCGAAAGCGUGGGGAGCAAACAGGAUUAGAUACCCUGGUAGUCCC